RNAcentral lists this ribosomal RNA (1118 nucleotides) under Schizopygopsis stoliczkai (false osman). Its description in RNAcentral is "partial 16S ribosomal RNA". It matches the Rfam family "Bacterial large subunit ribosomal RNA", at positions 157 to 2065 of the family's 2925-position model. The record is from RNAcentral. Lineage: Eukaryota; Metazoa; Chordata; Actinopteri; Cypriniformes; Cyprinidae.
GCCAAACAGCUAGCUCAAUUACCCAAUAACUAAACAAUAUAAAUAAAACAAAAUAAGCCUAACACCAAAAAUUAAAUCAUUCUUUUACCUUAGUAUGGGCGACAGAAAAGGUUACACCUGGAGCAAUAGAAAAAGUACCGCAAGGGAAAGCUGAAAGAGAAAUGAAAUAACUUAUAUAAGCACCAAAAAGCAAAGAUUAAAUCUUGUACCUUUCGCAUCAUGAUUUAGCCAGUAUAUCCAAGCAAAGAGACCUUUAGUUUGAAACCCCGAAACCAAGUGAGCUACCCCGAGACAGCCUAUUAAGGGCCAACCCGUCUCUGUGGCAAAAGAGUGGGAAGAGCUCCGGGUAGAGGUGACAGACCUACCGAACUUGGUGAUAGCUGGUUGCCUAAGAAGUGAAUAGAAGUUCAGCCUCGUACUCCCUGAAUCAAAAGAUAUAAAAAGAUAUUAGAGGGAAAUAUAUGAGAGUUAGUUAAAGGGGGUACAGCCCCUUUAACAAAGGACACAACCUUUCCAGGAGGAUAAAGAUCAUAAUACAUAAGACAUCCUGUUCUAGUGGGCCUAAAGGCAGCCAUCUAAACAGAAAGCGUUAAAGCUCAGACAGAAAUAAGUUUAUUAUUCCGACAAGAAAUCUUACUCCCCUAAAUAUUAUUAGGCCAGCCCAUGCCCACAUGGGAGAGACUAUGCUAAAAUGAGUAACAAGAAGGCCAGCCCUUCUCCAAGCACAAGUGUAAGCCAAACCGGACCGACCAUUGGCAAUUAACGAACUCAACCCGAGAGAGUAAUGUGUAUUACAACGAAACCAGGAAGAACUCACAAUUAACCCAUCGUUACCCCCACACUGGCGUGCUAUUAAAGGAAAGACUAAAAGAAGGGAAAGGAACUCGGCAAACACAAGCCUCGCCUGUUUACCAAAAACAUCGCCUCCUGCAACACAACCAAGUAUAGGAGGUCCAGCCUGCCCAGUGACUACAAGUUCAACGGCCGCGGUAUUUUGACCGUGCAAAGGUAGCGCAAUCACUUGUCUCUUAAAUGGAGACCUGUAUGAAUGGCUAAACGAGGGCUUAACUGUCUCCCCCCUCCAGUCAGUGAAAUUGAUCUACCCGUGCAGAAGCGGG